Molecule: ribosomal RNA, 416 nt
Filed under: uncultured bacterium
Lineage: Bacteria
Description: partial 16S ribosomal RNA
Rfam family: Bacterial small subunit ribosomal RNA
Source: RNAcentral
AAUAUUGGCAAUGGACGGAAGGCGGACCCAGCCAUGCCGCGUGAAGGAUGAAGGCGUUCUGGGUUUGAAACUUUUUUUAACCGGGAAGGAAUGAUUGUUUUCUAAAUUUUUUGAAGGGCACUGGGGGAUUAGCCACGGCUAAUUCCGGGCCGGUAGCCGCGGUAAUUCGGAGGGUGCAAGCGUUAUCCGGAUUUACUGGGUUUAAAGGGUACGUAGGCGGACUAUUAAGUCAGGGGUGAAAUCUCCGAGCUCAACUCGGAAACUGCCUUUGAAACUAGUGGUCUUGAAUUAUGUUGAGGUUGGCGGAAUAUAACAUGUAGCGGUGAAAUGCAUAGAUAUGUUAUAGAACACCGAUUGCGAAGGCAGCUGACUAAACAUAUAUUGACGCUGAUGUACGAAAGCGUGGGGAUCAAACA